RNAcentral lists this transfer RNA (62 nucleotides) under Prosopocoilus bulbosus mandibularis. Its description in RNAcentral is "tRNA-Glu". The record is from RNAcentral. Lineage: Eukaryota; Metazoa; Arthropoda; Insecta; Coleoptera; Lucanidae.
AUUCACAUAGUUUAAGAAAAACAUUACACUUUCACUGUAAAUUUAGGUCUCCCUUGUAAAUA